Gasterosteus aculeatus aculeatus (three-spined stickleback) is the source of this 2930-nucleotide long non-coding RNA. The record is from Ensembl. Lineage: Eukaryota; Metazoa; Chordata; Actinopteri; Perciformes; Gasterosteidae.
GCUCUAGGCUUCCGGACCAAAUCCAAAGACCCUGAAUGGUCACCAGCUGAGGAGGGCUGCACAGCGGGAACACAGUCCAACACCUCUGGAUGGUCAGGGAGGGGAAAACGGUAAAACACAGAAAACGUUGUUGACAUUCACAGAAAACAUUGUUGACAUUCAAAGGGUUCAAAUCUCACAUUUUCCAUGAUGAAAGUUACUUUAGUCGCUCUGGUCAGUCUCUGUGGAUGUUUAGGUACAGCUGGCGGUGGAGGUUUGGUUGUAGCCCCUCAACCACAAUCUGCAAGUGGAGGGUGUAACUGCAGGUUUGUGGCAGAGGCUGUUAAGGUGGAAUUAAGUUGCAGUUGUCUGCAAGCAGACUGCAGUUGGAGGCAAAAACCGCAGGUUGCUGGCAGAGGAUUUUAGGUGGAGGCUGGCAGAGGCUGCAGGUGGUGCAACUGUGGUCGUAGGACGUAGGUGGAGGUUUGGUUGAAGCUGUCUGCCAGCAACCUGCAGUUUGAGGCGGCAUCAACAGGUCACUGGCAGAGGCCGUAGGUGAAGAUUUGGUUGCAGCUGCCUGCCGGCAACCUGCAGUUGGAGGCAGCAACUGCAGAUGCAGGCAGAGGGUGGAGGCUGAGUUGCAGCUGUCUGCCAAUAUCUGAUGGUAGAGGCAGCAAUAGGUUUGUGGUAGAGGCUAUUUAGAUGGAGGUUGGUCUCCAGCUAUUUAGCACAAUCUGCAAGUGGAGGAGGCAAAUGCAGGUUGCUGCAGAGGCUGAAAGUGGACGACUGAAUAGCAGAUUUUUGCCAGAAUAUGCAGGUGGAAGCGGCACUUGCAGUAUCUGACGGACCGUCUGAGUGGAUGGUUUGUAGGCAGCUCUAUUACAGAAUGUUUAGGUGGAAGCGGCAUCAACAGGUCACUGGCAGAGGAUGUAGGUGGAGGUUUGGUUUCAGCUGGCUGCCAGCAACCUUCAGUUGGAGGCAACAACUGCAGGUCACUGGCAGAGGAUCAAGGUGAAGGUUUGCUUCCAGCUGUCUGCCAAUAUCUGCUGGUGGAGGUGGUAACAGCAGUUUAGGGGUUGAGCCUAUGUAAGGUGGAGGUUUGGUAGCAGCUGUCAGCAACAUGCAGUUGGAGGCAGCAACUGCAGAUUGCUAGAGGAGGCUGAAGGUUCCAGCUGCCACAACUUGCUGGUGGAGGCAGCAACAGCAGGACUGUGGCAGAGGUUCUUUAGGUGGAGGGUAGGUUGCAGGUGGUGUAGCUUGUUGAAUUGUAGUCAAUGUGAGUUUUUGAUGCAAAUUGUCCAGAGACACUUGUUCCCCACAAUUUGUAGGUGGAAAUACAUCUCCAGCUAUCAGCAGGUGGAUCGUGGGGCAGCGGUUGCGUGGUAAAAGCUGCUGGCAGAGGGUGGAGGCAGCAGAAAGCUAAUGUCAGCUGGAAUCUGCAGGACAACGACGGGGGCUGGAGGUGGAGGGGAGUUUCUCUCCUGGUGGGCACCACCGUGCGAACCAUCUUAAUACGGUGCUUUUGAUACUUAAAAUCACACAACUUUUGCUUAUCAGCAAUGUGAUCUUAAUUGAGGGUUUUGGAGUUUUUAGCUCUUCUGUGGUGUCCCUGGCUUUGGCUCCCCCAAAAUGUCCACCUGGUGGAGGGGAGGGAAGACUCCAACCCCGUAGGAGACAUCCACGUGCACCAGUCCGUCUCCGUUGACUGUUUCGGUGAACAGGGGACGGUCCAGUCUCUGCCACAGCUUCUGCUUGAUGACGCGCCCCAGGCUCAGAGUGUAAGGACGCAGACGGCCGCUCUUGAACCUGAGAGGUAAAAACAACGAGUUUAAUCACAACGUCACAUGUGGUUCAAAUGUUGCUGUGAGGGAAUAUUGAGCGAUACAUUUAGUUGUGAUUGGAAGAAUGUGCUAAUUAUGUGAGCGAUUGUUGACACAACGCACCUCAGCAUUUCAUCAACAACCUCGUGGUACAGCUGCUGGUAUUCUUCCACUGGGAGGUUGAAUAUCUUCAGAGGCCCGUCGUGCAGUGGAGCAGUGGAGGGCUGGAGGCUGGGGGCCACACAGGAGACUCGGGGCAGGUCAGCAGGUGGGAUGGUGGCUCUAGGCUUCUCCACCAAAGACCCUGAAUGGUCACCAGCUGGGGAGGGCUGCACAGCGGGGACACAGUCCAACACCUCUGGAUGGUCAGGGAGGGGACGGCCUCCGGAGGUGCGCUUCCUCUUCUGGUGAAGGUCUCCGGGAGCAGCAGAGGGCCGGCGCUUUCUCUUUAGAGUCGGCCCCUGGUCAGCAACACAUCAAAGGGUGUGAGUGAACUUCAUACUGAACAACACACUGUCACAGAGAAACCUCUGCAUCACAUGCACUGCAGAGAGCCUUCACAGAUUCUGUCCAUUUUGAAGGAUUUUUAAUAUGCAAUCUCUUUGCUUGUUUGUACACUGACUCACUCCGGGUCCUGAGGAUUACAUUGUGAACAGUUUGAAAGAACAAGUCUCACCUGCUUGUCCCUGCAGCAUGAACACUGUCUCCAGGCUGAGGGCCUCGACGCGCUCUCUGCCUGGCGAGCAGAGGUUCUCCUUCCUGUCUGGUUGUCGGUCAGGAGAACGGGAACGUCACACUGCAACAACAUAGACUUGUGUUAGAAGGAAGCUUUACAAGUACGGUCAAAGCAGAACGUUUCAUUUCUCAAUUCACUGUGAAAACCAACUGAUAUUUCCCCUAAAACAUGACGUGUAUUUCCACACGCGUAGAGCUUCUAUCAGCACAUUCAACCAUCGAAAGAGUUCACAGAGACCAGAUGAAGUUUGUAGGGGCCUGAGCUGCAGGCCCGCUGUAAACACCUGUUCCUCACAGAAGUACGCCGUGUGGACAGGUUGUAUGUGCCUCAGUGUUAGCGGACCGACACUUAACUAUUAAUAACAUGAAUUAAGGAACAUGUGAUCAAGUGAAAAG